RNAcentral lists this ribosomal RNA (500 nucleotides) under uncultured bacterium. RNAcentral describes it as "partial 16S ribosomal RNA". It matches the Rfam family "Bacterial small subunit ribosomal RNA", at positions 30 to 523 of the family's 1533-position model. The record is from RNAcentral.
AUUGAACGCUGGCGGCAGGCCUAACACAUGCAAGUCGAGCGGUAGAGAGAAGCUUGCUUCUCUUGAGAGCGGCGGACGGGUGAGUAAUGCCUAGGAAUCUGCCUGGUAGUGGGGGAUAACGUUCGGAAACGGACGCUAAUACCGCAUACGUCCUACGGGAGAAAGCAGGGGACCUUCGGGCCUUGCGCUAUCAGAUGAGCCUAGGUCGGAUUAGCUAGUUGGUGGGGUAAUGGCUCACCAAGGCGACGAUCCGUAACUGGUCUGAGAGGAUGAUCAGUCACACUGGAACUGAGAAACGGGCCAGACUCCUACGGGAGGCAGCAGUGGGGAAUAUUGGACAAUGGGCGAAAGCCUGAUCCAGCCAUGCCGCGUGUGUGAAGAAGGUCUUCGGAUUGUAAAGCACUUUAAGUUGGGAGGAAGGGCAGUAAAUUAAUACUUUGCUGUUUUGACGUUACCGACAGAAUAAGCACCGGCUAACUCUGUGCCAGCAGCCGCCGUAA